UACGGGGGGGGCGAGCGUUGUUCGGAAUUACUGGGCGUAAAGGGUUUGUAGGUGGUCUGCUAAGUCAGACGUGAAAUCCCUCAGCUUAACUGGGGAACUGCGUCUGAUACUGGCGGACUUGAGGACAGGAGAGGAACGCGGAAUUCCAGGUGUAGCGGUGAAAUGCGUAGAUAUCAGGAGGAACACCGGUGGCGAAGGCGGUUCUCUGGGCAUUACCUGACGCUGAGGAGCGAAAGUGUGGGGAGCGAACAGG
RNAcentral lists this ribosomal RNA (253 nucleotides) under uncultured bacterium. RNAcentral's name for it is "partial 16S ribosomal RNA". It matches the Rfam family "Bacterial small subunit ribosomal RNA", at positions 524 to 776 of the family's 1533-position model. The record is from RNAcentral.